UACGGGGGGGGCAAGCGUUGUUCGGAAUUACUGGGCGUAAAGGGCUCGUAGGCGGCCAACUAAGUCAGACGUGAAAUCCCUCAGCUUAACUGGGGAACUGCGUCCGAUACUGGAUGGCUUGGAUUUGGGAGAGGGAUGCGGAAUUCCAGGUGUAGCGGUGAAAUGCGUAGAUAUCUGGAGGAACACCGGUGGCGAAGGCGGCAUCCUGGACCAAUAUUGACGCUGAGGAGCGAAAGCCAGGGGAGCAAACGGG
RNAcentral lists this ribosomal RNA (253 nucleotides) under uncultured bacterium. Its description in RNAcentral is "partial 16S ribosomal RNA". It matches the Rfam family "Bacterial small subunit ribosomal RNA", at positions 524 to 776 of the family's 1533-position model. The record is from RNAcentral.